This 548-nucleotide ribosomal RNA is filed under the name uncultured Glomeromycotina. RNAcentral's name for it is "SSU rRNA". It matches the Rfam family "Eukaryotic small subunit ribosomal RNA", at positions 548 to 1097 of the family's 1831-position model. The record is from RNAcentral. Lineage: Eukaryota; Fungi; Glomeromycota.
UUGGAGGGCAAGUCUGGUGCCAGCAGCCGCGGUAAUUCCAGCUCCAAUAGCGUAUAUUAAAGUUGUUGCAGUUAAAAAGCUCGUAGUUGAAUUUCGGGGUCAGUAGGCUGGUCGUGCCUCAGGUACGUACUGGUCUUACUGAUUCCUCCUUCCUGACGAACCGUAAUGCCAUUAAUUUGGUGUUGCGGGGAAUCUGGACUGUUACUUUGAAAAAAUUAGAGUGUUUAAAGCAGGCUAACGCUUGAAUACAUUAGCAUGGAAUAAUGAAAUAGGACGAUCGAUCCUAUUUUGUUGGUUUCUAGGAUUGACGUAGUGAUUAAUAGGGAUAGUUGGGGGCAUUAGUAUUCAAUUGUCAGAGGUGAAAUUCUUGGAUUUAUUGAAGACUAACUACUGCGAAAGCAUUUGCCAAGGAUGUUUUCAUUAAUCAAGAACGAAAGUUAGGGGAUCGAAGACGAUCAGAUACCGUCGUAGUCUUAACCAUAAACUAUGCCGACUAGGGAUCGGAUGAUGUUAAUUUUUUAAUGACUCAUUCGGCGCCUUACGGGAAA